RNAcentral lists this ribosomal RNA (274 nucleotides) under uncultured bacterium. Its description in RNAcentral is "partial 16S ribosomal RNA". It matches the Rfam family "Bacterial small subunit ribosomal RNA", at positions 523 to 796 of the family's 1533-position model. The record is from RNAcentral.
AUACGGAGGGUCCAAGCGUUAUCCGGAAUCAUUGGGUUUAAAGGGUCCGUAGGCGGACAAUUAGGUCAGAGAUGAAAGCCCACAGCUCAACUGUGGAACUGCCUUUGAUACUGGUUGUCUUGAAUUAUAGUGAAGUAGAUAGAAUAUGUAGUGUAGCGGUGAAAUGCAUAGGUAUUACAUAGAAUACCGAUUGCGAAGGCAGUCUACUAACUAUAUAUUGACGCUGAUGGACGAAAGCGUGGGGAGCGAACAGGAUUAGAAACCCUAGUAGUCC